RNAcentral lists this ribosomal RNA (401 nucleotides) under Escherichia coli. RNAcentral describes it as "partial 23S ribosomal RNA". It matches the Rfam family "Bacterial large subunit ribosomal RNA", at positions 1241 to 1643 of the family's 2925-position model. The record is from RNAcentral. Lineage: Bacteria; Pseudomonadati; Pseudomonadota; Gammaproteobacteria; Enterobacterales; Enterobacteriaceae.
CUGUAAGCCUGUGAAGGUGUACUGUGAGGUAUGCUGGAGGUAUCAGAAGUGCGAAUGCUGACAUAAGUAACGAUAAAGCGGGUGAAAAGCCCGCUCGCCGGAAGACCAAGGGUUCCUGUCCAACGUUAAUCGGGGCAGGGUGAGUCGACCCCUAAGGCGAGGCCGAAAGGCGUAGUCGAUGGGAAACAGGUUAAUAUUCCUGUACUUGGUGUUACUGCGAAGGGGGGACGGAGAAGGCUAUGUUGGCCGGGCGACGGUUGUCCCGGUUUAAGCGUGUAGGCUGGUUUUCCAGGCAAAUCCGGAAAAUCAAGGCUGAGGCGUGAUGACGAGGCACUACGGUGCUGAAGCAACAAAUGCCCUGCUUCCAGGAAAAGCCUCUAAGCAUCAGGUAACAUCAAAUC